UUUAUUAUUUACUAAAACAAAAGCACCCACGAACCCACGCAGUACUCACCAUUAUCUAUAUCGAGAAGAACAAUAGGGUUCAUAUGUCUCUCUCUGCCUUCGCUUCACAACAAAAUCACCAUCAUCACUCCUCUCACCACAACCAUAAUCAUAAACCCUAAAUCGAUAAUCAACAAAAAAGUAUUGAUAUAGCGACUGCUCUACGUUUCCAGAUUUAGAAAGAGUCAUCGGUUGGGUUAGCUACACAAUCUGCCCAUCCUGGUAAUUUCUUAAACUCAGUGUAGAUUUAUUGCUUUUAUUUCUUAUCCCGCCUUUCAAUUUAUGUUAUACAUGUGAGUGAAUAAGUGAUUAUAAAGUGCUUUUCCCUAAUAAGUGAUUAUUUGUGUCAUGCCAAGAUCUUUUAAUUAUACCUGGAACCAUUUUAAUAGCUUUUUUAAUCUGCUGUGUGAUGUAUUUUCGUGUCAGUAUCCUACAGCCUAGCCAAAUUUCUUGACAGAAAGGAAAUUUUUUUUCUUUAGGGCUGUUGUUAGCCUGUUACAAGUUCUUUCUUGGACUCAGCUUGUUUAUGUAGUUCCAGGUGUUGUCUAAUAAGAUGUUUAUUCAGUUGUCAAAAUCUACGAACUCCGUAAAUUUUCCAAUGAUAACCCCAAAUAAUUAUCAAUUUCUUGUUCAAGUGUUUGAGCUCCUUGUCACUUAAAUCAGGUUUAUGAUCAAAAGAAAAUAAAGAAUCUGACCCCUGAAUUUGUGAAUUAAGAAAAGGAAUCAUGUGUCUUGCAUAUAGUUAAAGUAACUUAGGAAUCGUGGAUACAGUUAUUAUGUUCAUUGUUCUAGCAUGUUUGAUACAAAGUUUGUGGUAGUAUCUCCAAAUAAAAUGAUAUUUUUCAAAAGUGACCAUGGACAUCGUGAUCGUGAGUCAUAUUAUGGAGAUCUUCUUACAAAUACCCUUGUGAAGGUAAAAGAUAUAUUUAAUUUAAACAUGUCAUACUUCCAGAUUUUGCUUUAUUAGAAUUAAAGGUAACAUUAAUCAUUCUCUAAGAUUUAGAAUUAUUACGAUUUGGUGUUUUAAUUGUAUAGUGUAAAAUGGAGCAAAACCUCUCGUUCUGCCGACAACUGGUAUGAUCACAUCUGGCCCUCUAAACUCAUCAGGACUUCCGAGGAACGUGUUUGGUCCAUUAGAAUCUUUAGGGUUGAUGAAAUCGCAUAGUGUUGUUGUAGUUCAUAAUCCAAUUGUGACUACUCUUAGUGUGGAAUGUGGACGAUGAGUAUUCCUUCAAAAAUAACUUCCGGAAGCCAAUAUUGUGGCAUGUGAUUCUGACUUUUGUUAUGGGAUUCAUUGUCGGUGGCUUUAUUGUCGGUGCUGCCCACAAUGCUAUAUUGCUUAUUGUUGUAGUAAUUCUUUUUGGCGCGGUUGCGGCAUUGUUCACUUGGAAUAGUUGUCAGGGAAGAAAAGCAAUUGUUGAUUUCAUUUAUAAAUAUCCAGAUGCAGAGCCAAGAACUGCCGAGAAUAGACAGUUUGUGAAGGUUUCCAGGGUACGUAAUUUAACAUUGAUGCAUUGAUUAACUAAACAUGUAUAAUACAUUGUAUAUUAGUGUUAUAUAUGCAUGAUUGAGGGAAAUAAAGUGUUGAAGGUGGUUACUUGUGGGAAUGUUUCCUUAGAUUCAUCCUUUCAAAAAGUUCCAAGAUGUGUUUAUACCUCUGCUACCUUGUAUGAAUAUAGAGGAUUAUAUAGAGGAUGGGAUUCCAAAGCAGCUAAUGCAAAACAUCACUACUUUACCUGGGGACUUCGUUUGACCGAGGUAAGCAAUAGUCAGUUCUAUCUUUUCUUUUUAGAUUGCCAAGUUUUAUUUGAGUUUGAUAAAAUAUUGUGACUUGUUGAAUUAUUGUGAUAGAAUAUGCUUUGCUUAUGUGGAUUGUUGAGAUGUGAACAAAAUAGAAUAUGCCACGGUUACUGAAUAUAAUACCAAUUUGAUAGUAAAUACAUGAAUCUUAAUUCUUAAUUUCCCUAAUUACAUGAAACUCAAACUAACUUGUAAACAAUGAAUUUGGGAGCUGUGAAGCGUACAUACCAUGGUCUUGGGAAGAGAUCUAUAGGUGUUGUGAAAUUUGAUACCACUAAUAUUUUGUUUACAUUUAAUAUACUGCAAGUGAAACUUUUCUUUUUCCUAGUUUACAGUUCCUGUCUUUCCAAAUAUAAUGACAUAGUUUAAUCUAAAGAGUUGUGAUUUUCAUUAAUUGUUUAGAAAGUGAAUGAUAUAAUUAUUAGGAAUAGAGGAAUAGAUGUAACAUUUCAAUUUGUUGUCACUGUUUACAAAUCAAAGGUGAAAUAUGCAUAUGCUUGCUUUACAUUGAGUCGCCUCGUAAAUUUGAACAUUUAAAAUAGGUAUAUUCUUUGAAAUAUUAUAUAUGAAUAUCAAAUUAUGAAGGACAUAUAUAAUAAUUUUAAUAUUUAAAAUAUAAAUUGUCAGCUUUUUAAAUAUCUCCAUUUAAGAGUUGGAAAACAAACGUUGGAUGCCAAAAAAUAUACAUCUUCAUUUAAUUAAGGCUUUUGUUUUUCAUAUCUUAUAAUUAAACAUUAUAUUUGGAAAGACAAAUUAUGCUUGCAUGAUCUAAACCAUCACUUUUCUUCCCAUUUUGUUGUCUCAACUGGAAGGACAAGUCAUUACUAUUAAGCAACAUAAAUUGGCUAGUUCUCAAGGUGAUGUCGAGUUUUGCUCUUAGGUAGAAGUCCCGAGUUGUGCUCAGCACCGGAAUGUUGUUAUGUUGAUUGGAUUAUGUAUGGAGGAUAAGAGAAGGCUGGUGGUUUAUGAGUACAUAUGUGAUGGAUCAUUUGAUUCACAUUUAUAUGGCGGGAAAGGGAUACAUUAGAAUGCUCUGCAAGGUAGAAAACUGUUGUUAGAGCUGCUCGCGGGCUAAGGUCUUCACGAAGAGUGCAGAGUUGGUUGUAUCAUCCACCGCGACAUGAUUUAGCUUAACAGGCGACAAAGGGAUCUAUGAGAAUGGUCUUCAAGGUAGAAAAUUGUUGUUGGAGCUGCUCGCGUAGUAAGAACACGAAGUUGUAAAGAAGCCUUAAAAUCACACUGUGCUGCCAUCAUUUGUCUCAUUUGGGAAGAGGACAGACACAUAGUUAUUGUAUGAUUCUUCCGUCCGAGAGAGAGAUGUUUAUGCUUGUCAUUUUGUUAGAUAAUUUGACCUACCAUCACUAGUUUUCUUGAUUUACUUCUUACUGUCACUAGCAGUUAUUAUUUGUUAAGGAAAUAAAAAGCUUUGGUUUUUAUGCUC
Long non-coding RNA from Vicia villosa (hairy vetch), 3280 nucleotides. RefSeq lists it as uncharacterized. The transcript has 5 exons. Lineage: Eukaryota; Viridiplantae; Streptophyta; Magnoliopsida; Fabales; Fabaceae. The record is from RefSeq and is a predicted model, not a curated record.